GAUCAUGGCUCAGGGUGAACGCUAGCUACAGGCUUAACACAUGCAAGUCGAGGGGCAGCGGGGAGUAGCAAUACUCUGCCGGCGACCGGCGCACGGGUGAGUAACGCGUAUGCAACUUGCCUAUCAGAGGAGAAUAGCUCAUCGAAAGAUGAAUUAAUGCUCCAUGAAACAGGGUCCCGCAUGGGAAUAUUUGUUAAAGAUUCAUCGCUGAUAGAUAGG
This 219-nucleotide ribosomal RNA is filed under the name uncultured bacterium. RNAcentral's name for it is "partial 16S ribosomal RNA". It matches the Rfam family "Bacterial small subunit ribosomal RNA", at positions 15 to 229 of the family's 1533-position model. The record is from RNAcentral.